UGGGGGAAUUUUUGCGCAAUGGGGGGAAACCCCUGACGCAGCAACUCCGCGUGAGUGAUGAAGGCCUUCGGGUCGUAAAGCUCUGUCAGAGGGGAAGAAAUGCAGGGGUGCUAAUAUCAUCUUUGCUUGACGGUACCCUCAAAGGAAGCACCGGCUAACUCCGUGCCAGCAGCCGCGGUAAUACGGAGGGUGCGAGCGUUGUUCGGAAUUAUUGGGCGUAAAGCGCGUGUAGGCGGUUUGAUAAGUCUGAUGUGAAAGCCCCGGGCUCGAACCUGGGAAGUGCAUUGGAAACUGUCAGACUUGAAUACGGGAGAGGGUAUGGAAUUCCGUAGUGUAGGAGUGAAAUCCGUAGAUAUUAGGAGGAACNCGGUAGGCGAAGGCGGCUACCGUGGACCGAUAU
This 400-nucleotide ribosomal RNA is filed under the name uncultured bacterium. RNAcentral's name for it is "bacterial SSU rRNA". It matches the Rfam family "Bacterial small subunit ribosomal RNA", at positions 353 to 740 of the family's 1533-position model. The record is from RNAcentral.